GACGAACGCUGGCGGCGUGCUUAACACAUGCAAGUCGAACGGAAAGGCCCUGCUUGCCGGGUACUCGAGUGGCGAACGGGUGAGUAACACGUGGGUGAUCUGCCCUGCACUUCGGGAUAAGCCUGGGAAACUGGGUCUAAUACCGGAUAGGAGCCAUUUUUAGUGUGAUGGUUGGAAAGUUUUUUCGGUGUAGGAUGAGCUCGCGGCCUAUCAGCUUGUUGGUGGGGUAAUGGCCUACCAAGGCGGCGACGGGUAGCCGGCCUGAGAGGGUGGACGGCCACAUUGGGACUGAGAUACGGCCCAGACUCCUACGGGAGGCAGCAGUGGGGAAGAUUGCACAAUGGGCGCAAGCCUGAUGCAGCGACGCCGCGUGGGGGAGGACGGCCUUCGGGUUGUAAACUCCUUUCGCUAGGGACGAAGCUUUUUGUGACAGUACCUAGAUAAGAAGCACCGGCUAACUACGUG
Molecule: ribosomal RNA, 465 nt
Filed under: uncultured bacterium
Lineage: Bacteria
Description: partial 16S ribosomal RNA
Rfam family: Bacterial small subunit ribosomal RNA
Source: RNAcentral